Long non-coding RNA from Brassica oleracea var. oleracea, 867 nucleotides. RefSeq lists it as uncharacterized. The record is from RefSeq and is a predicted model, not a curated record. Lineage: Eukaryota; Viridiplantae; Streptophyta; Magnoliopsida; Brassicales; Brassicaceae. The transcript is spliced from 3 exons.
CGUGGAUCCAAGUCAAAGUUUUUUCACACCUAGAAACAAUAAAGUGAACAGUUCGGUCAGACAAUGGAAAUCAUUUUCUCUGACAAGAAGAUACACUAAAUACAACAAAAUAUCCAGCUUCAUAGAGGAGCAGACUUAACACAGAUUUGAAAGCAACUGAGCAAAUAAUACAGAGCAAAACAAUGUUACAAUCUGGUGUGAAGCAAAGCAGUCAUGUUUUAAGAAAAGAUGGUGCUAAGUCUACUCCUAAACUAAGGCAGACAGCAGUAACUGUAACUAAUAACUCCAACGUUACGAAUCCAUCCCAGGUUGGGUAUGUUUCAGAUAAUAACAUCUUCCCUGAAGAUAUAAAUCUUGAGCACUCAAAUAUGUUUAUUAUGAACAGUCAAUUAUUAUAAGUUUUUUUUGCUAUUUGAAAUUAUAUGUGGCAGUUCCAUCUGAAGGACAAGAUGAUCACUUUUACGACUUAAGCAGUCAAGAAAGUGAUACAGUAUCAAAUGUUUCCGAUCAUGCUCAAGAUUUAUUUAGAGAAGCUGUAUCAGAGAAAGCAAACAUUGAGUCUAUGAUGGCAAGGAUUAGAAAGAUGUGUGAAAGCAAGGUGAAAAUUAAAAAAAAAACCAUAGAGUACACAGACUACCCCAAAAAACAUAUUGGUAAGAGUUAUAAUAUAAUGAUUAAAGAGUAAAGUAUUAGUGAUACUGAACAUCGAGUACACAGACUACCCCAAAAACUACAACUAUGUAAACGUGUGUCAUCAAUCAUGCAGUCAGCAAAGUUUUUCCAAAAAUAAUUCAUGUAAUGCAGAGAAAAAAAUGAUUUUCAUUACGGUUAAUACUUCAACCAAAAAAAUUAAAUUCAAACCAUCGG